ACUGAGACACGGUCCAAACUCCUACGGGAGGCAGCAGUGAGGAAUAUUGGUCAAUGGACGUAAGUCUGAACCAGCCAAGUAGCGUGCAGGAUGACGGCCCUAUGGGUUGUAAACUGCUUUUAUGCGGGGGUAAAGUGAGUGACGUGUCAUUCAUUGCAAGUACCGCAAGAAUAAGGACCGGCUAAUUCCGUGCCAGCAGCCGCGGUAAUACGGAAGGUCCUGGUGUUAUCCGGAUUUAUUGGGUUUAAAGGGAGCGUAGGCCGUCAGGCAAGCGUGUUGUGAAAUGUCGUGGCUCAACCAUGGACUUGCAGCGCGAGCUGCCCGACUUGAGUGCGCGGAAAGCAGGCGGAAUUUGUGGUGUAGCGGUGAAAUGCUUAGAUAUCACGAAGAACCUCGAUUGCGAAGGCAGCCUGCUGUAGCGCUACUGACGCUGAAGCUCGAAAGUGCGGGUAUCGAACAGGAUUAGAUACCCUGGUAGUCCGCACGGUAAACGAUGGAUGCCCGCUGUUCGGUCUACGGACCGAGCGGCUAAGUGAAAACGUUAAGCAUCCCACCUGGGGAGUACGCC
RNAcentral lists this ribosomal RNA (568 nucleotides) under uncultured bacterium. RNAcentral's name for it is "bacterial SSU rRNA". It matches the Rfam family "Bacterial small subunit ribosomal RNA", at positions 318 to 886 of the family's 1533-position model. The record is from RNAcentral.